RNAcentral lists this ribosomal RNA (228 nucleotides) under uncultured bacterium. RNAcentral's name for it is "partial 16S ribosomal RNA". It matches the Rfam family "Bacterial small subunit ribosomal RNA", at positions 568 to 795 of the family's 1533-position model. The record is from RNAcentral.
CGCGUAGGCGGAAAAUUAAGUCAGUGGUGAAAUCCUGCAGCUUAACUGUAGAACUGUCAUUGAUACUGAUUUUCUUGAAUAUAGUUGAGGUAGGCGGAAUGUGUAAUGUAGCGGUGAAAUGCUUAGAUAUUACACAGAACACCGAUUGCGAAGGCAGCUUACUAAGCUAUUAUUGACGCUGAGGCACGAAAGCGUGGGGAGCGAACAGGAUUAGAUACCCUGGUAGUC